UGAUGUUUACAAAGGUACUCUCAUAUAC
Molecule: small RNA, 28 nt
Filed under: Bombyx mori (domestic silkworm)
Lineage: Eukaryota; Metazoa; Arthropoda; Insecta; Lepidoptera; Bombycidae
Description: ovarian small RNA-32966
Source: RNAcentral